GUCCUGACCAAAUCUCGUGCCAGCAGUCGCGGUUAAACGAGGGGGGCAAGCGUUAAUCAUCUUAAAUAGGUCUAAAGGGUUGGUAGACAGCUUUAAAAGUCUUUAUGUAUACUUUAAAGCUAGAGUGGACUAGAAGAAAAUAGUACUUUAAAAGUAAGGAUAAAAUCUGAAUAAUUAAGGGACUUCCGUAAGCAAAGGCAUAUUUCUAUAGUUAUAACUGACGUUGAGCAACUAAAGCUAGGGUAGCCAAACGGAUUUGAUACCCGAGUAGUCCUAGCUAUAAACGAUGAGUGCUAGGUUAUAUUUAAUAUUACCGUAGUGAAGACAUUAAGCAUUCCACCUGGAGAGUACGUUCGCAAGGAUGAAAUCCAAGACAUUAGGCGGUUGUAGACGCAAGCAGUUAAGC
This 406-nucleotide ribosomal RNA is filed under the name Myxozyma kluyveri. RNAcentral describes it as "partial small subunit ribosomal RNA". It matches the Rfam family "Bacterial small subunit ribosomal RNA", at positions 488 to 938 of the family's 1533-position model. Lineage: Eukaryota; Fungi; Ascomycota; Lipomycetes; Lipomycetales; Lipomycetaceae. The record is from RNAcentral.